This 374-nucleotide unclassified non-coding RNA is filed under the name Hevea brasiliensis (rubber tree). The record is from RNAcentral. Lineage: Eukaryota; Viridiplantae; Streptophyta; Magnoliopsida; Malpighiales; Euphorbiaceae.
AACAUACAACACAGAAAACGGCUUCUUUCCUAGGCGAGGAUAGAUCUUUUCCUCCAAGUAACUCUUAAGCACAUCCACACUCAGAAGUCGCGCUAAUAUUAACCGCCCCAAAAAAAAUCAUAAUCAAAAUUAGAAACAAGCAUUCAAUUGCAUGCAAAAGAAAAGCUAAAAAAGAGACAGAGAUGGUACCAGGGAAGAAUUUGCCUAUAAUGCGAAGGACCUUGCGGCCAUGUUUGUCUCGUCCAUGGAUCUUGAAGAUCCCGAGCUUCUCAAUGAGUUGUUCUUGGUCGAGCUGCGAAACGUGAGUGCACAUGUUGUUCGUUUUUCUUCAAUUUGGCUAAAGUUUGGGCUAAGGAAGCAAAAACGGCAAAGUG